UUGGAGGGCAAGUCUGGUGCCAGCAGCCGCGGUAAUUCCAGCUCCAAUAGCGUAUAUUAAAGUUGUUGCAGUUAAAAAGCUCGUAGUUGAAUUUCGAGAUCAAAUUGUUGGUCGUGCCUCGGUACGUACUGGCAUUAUUGAUUUCUCCCUUCUGAAGAACCUUGAUGUCAUUAAUUUGGUGUCUUGGGGAAUCAGGACCGUUACUUUGAAAAAAUUAGAGUGUUUAAAGCAGGCUCACGCUUGAAUACAUUAGCAUGGAAUAAUGAAAUAGGACGUUUGAUUCUAUUUUGUUGGUUUCUAGGAUCGACGUAAUGAUUAAUAGGGAUAGUUGGGGGCAUUAGUAUUCAAUUGUCAGAGGUGAAAUUCUUGGAUUUAUUGAAGACUAACUACUGCGAAAGCAUUUGCCAAGGAUGUUUUCAUUAAUCAAGAACGAAAGUUAGGGGAUCGAAGACGAUCAGAUACCGUCGUAGUCUUAACCAUAAACUAUGCCGACUAGGGAUCGGAUGAUGUUAAUUUUUUAAUGACCCAUUCGGCGCCUUACGGGAAACCAAAGUGUUUGGGUUC
RNAcentral lists this ribosomal RNA (564 nucleotides) under uncultured Glomeromycotina. Its description in RNAcentral is "SSU rRNA". It matches the Rfam family "Eukaryotic small subunit ribosomal RNA", at positions 548 to 1114 of the family's 1831-position model. The record is from RNAcentral. Lineage: Eukaryota; Fungi; Glomeromycota.